RNAcentral lists this non-coding RNA (25 nucleotides) under Rattus norvegicus (Norway rat). The record is from RNAcentral. Lineage: Eukaryota; Metazoa; Chordata; Mammalia; Rodentia; Muridae.
UAGAAACCUCCAUUCACCUCCACUU